This 25-nucleotide non-coding RNA is filed under the name Rattus norvegicus (Norway rat). The record is from RNAcentral. Lineage: Eukaryota; Metazoa; Chordata; Mammalia; Rodentia; Muridae.
CCUUUUCUCCAUAAAGUCCUGCCUU